RNAcentral lists this ribosomal RNA (500 nucleotides) under uncultured microorganism. RNAcentral's name for it is "bacterial SSU rRNA". It matches the Rfam family "Archaeal small subunit ribosomal RNA", at positions 234 to 734 of the family's 1478-position model. The record is from RNAcentral.
AGUGGGUGUAACGUACCCACUAGCCUACGACGGGUACGGGUUGUGAGAGCAAGAGCCCGGAGAUGGAUUCUGAGACAUGAAUCCAGGCCCUACGGGGUGCAGCAGGCGCGAAAACUUUACAAUGCGGGCAACCGCGAUAAGGGGACCUCGAGUGCUGGGUUACAAACCUGGCUGUUGGGCUGCCUAAAAAGCAGUCUAUAGCAAGGGCCGGGCAAGACCGGUGCCAGCCGCCGCGGUAACACCGGCGGCUCGAGUGGUAACCGCUGUUAUUGGGUCUAAAGGGUCUGUAGCCUGCCGGCUAAGUCUCUUGGGAAAUCUGGCAUCUCAAGUGUCAGGCUGCCAGGGGAUACUGGUCAGCUUGGGACCGGGAGAGGUGAGAGGUACCUCAGGGGUAGGGGUGAAAUCUUGUAAUCCUUGAAGGACCACCAGUGGCGAAGGCGUCUCACCAGAACGGACCUGACGGCAAGGGACGAAAGCUAGGGGCACGAACCGGAUUAGAU